Molecule: unclassified non-coding RNA, 207 nt
Filed under: Melitaea cinxia (Glanville fritillary)
Lineage: Eukaryota; Metazoa; Arthropoda; Insecta; Lepidoptera; Nymphalidae
Description: misc RNA ENSMCXG00005011904.1
Source: RNAcentral
CAGAAUACAAUAUACUAUAAAAAAUUGAAAUCCAAGAUGGCGGCCGCUACAAAAUGGCGGAUAACGUAGGUUUUAUCGAUCCCAUCAAUAUGGGUAUCAAAUGAAAGUGUUCAACCAGUAUAAUCAAUGUACUAUAUAAAAUUAAAAUCCAAGAUGGCGGCCUCUACAAAAUGGCGGAUAACUUAGGUUUUAUCAAUCCCAUCAACA